GAUGAACGCCGGCGGCGUGCCUAAUACAUGCAAGUCGAGCGAACAGAUGAGGAGCUUGCUCCUCUGACGUUAGCGGCGGACGGGUGAGUAACACGUGGAUAACCUACCUAUAAGACUGGGAUAACUUCGGGAAACCGGAGCUAAUACCGGAUAAUAUAUUGAACCGCAUGGUUCAAUAGUGAAAGACGGUUUUGCUGUCACUUAUAGAUGGAUCCGCGCCGCAUUAGCUAGUUGGUAAGGUAACGGCUUACCAAGGCAACGAUGCGUAGCCGACCUGAGAGGGUGAUCGGCCACACUGGAACUGAGACACGGUCCAGACUCCUACGGGAGGCAGCAGUAGGGAAUCUUCCGCAAUGGGCGAAAGCCUGACGGAGCAACGCCGCGUGAGUGAUGAAGGUCUUCGGAUCGUAAAACUCUGUUAUUAGGGAAGAACAAAUGUGUAAGUAACUAUGCACGUCUUGACGGUACCUAAUCAGAAAGCCACGGCUAACUACGUG
RNAcentral lists this ribosomal RNA (497 nucleotides) under uncultured bacterium. Its description in RNAcentral is "partial 16S ribosomal RNA". It matches the Rfam family "Bacterial small subunit ribosomal RNA", at positions 28 to 507 of the family's 1533-position model. The record is from RNAcentral.